CCUACGGGCGGCUGCAGUGGGGAAUUUUGGACAAUGGGCGCAAGCCUGAUCCAGCCAUUCCGCGUGAGUGAAGAAGGCCUUCGGGUUGUAAAGCUCUUUCGCAAGGGAAGAAAACUUAUCCUCUAACAUAGGAUGAGGUUGACGGUACCUUGAUAAGAAGCACCGGCUAACUACGUGCCAGCAGCCGCGGUAAUACGUAGGGUGCGAGCGUUAAUCGGAAUGACUGCGGGUGAAGUUUGCGCUCAGUUGUGAAAGCCCCGAGCUCAACUUGGGAACUGCGUUUGAAACUACAAGACUAGAAUAGGUCAGAGGGGGGUAGAAUUCCACGUGUAGCAGUGAAAUGCGUAGAGAUGUGGAGGAAUAUCAAUGGCGAAGGCAGCCCCCUGGGAUCAUAUUGACGCUCAUGCACGAAAGCGUGGGGAGCAAACAGGAUUAGAUACCCUGGUAGUC
RNAcentral lists this ribosomal RNA (450 nucleotides) under uncultured bacterium. RNAcentral describes it as "partial 16S ribosomal RNA". It matches the Rfam family "Bacterial small subunit ribosomal RNA", at positions 338 to 795 of the family's 1533-position model. The record is from RNAcentral.